GACGAACGCUGGCGGCGUGCUUAACACAUGCAAGUCGAACGGAAAGGCCCUGCUUUUGUGGGGUGCUCGAGUGGCGAACGGGUGAGUAACACGUGAGUAACCUGCCCUUGACUUUGGGAUAACUUCAGGAAACUGGGGCUAAUACCGGAUAGGGGCUCCUGCUGCAUGGUGGGGGUUGGAAAGUUUCGGCGGUUGGGGAUGGACUCGCGGCUUAUCAGCUUGUUGGUGGGGUAGUGGCUUACCAAGGCUUUGACGGGUAGCCGGCCUGAGAGGGUGACCGGCCACAUUGGGACUGAGAUACGGCCCAGACUCCUACGGGAGGCAGCAGUGGGGAAUAUUGCACAAUGGGCGGAAGCCUGGUGCAGCAACGCCGCGUGCGGGAUGACGGCCUUCGGGUUGUAAACCGCUUUCGCCUGUGACGAAGCGUGAGUGACGGUAAUGGGUAAAGAAGCACCGGCUAACUACGUG
Molecule: ribosomal RNA, 468 nt
Filed under: uncultured bacterium
Lineage: Bacteria
Description: partial 16S ribosomal RNA
Rfam family: Bacterial small subunit ribosomal RNA
Source: RNAcentral